RNAcentral lists this ribosomal RNA (253 nucleotides) under uncultured bacterium. Its description in RNAcentral is "partial 16S ribosomal RNA". It matches the Rfam family "Bacterial small subunit ribosomal RNA", at positions 524 to 776 of the family's 1533-position model. The record is from RNAcentral.
UACGGGGGGGGCAAGCGUUGUUCGGAAUUACUGGGCGUAAAGGGCUCGUAGGUGGCCAACUAAGUCAGACGUGAAAUCCCUCGGCUUAACCGGGGAACUGCGUCUGAUACUGGAUGGCUUGAAUCCGGGAGAGGGAUGCGGAAUUCCAGGUGUAGCGGUGAAAUGCGUAGAUAUCGGAAGGAACAUCAGUGGCGAAAGCGACUUCCUGGACCAGUACCGACGUUCAGGCACGAAAGCGUGGGGAGCAAACAGG